CGAACGCUGGCGGCGCGCCUAACACAUGCAAGUCGAACGGAGUUAUUUUCUUCACUCCGAGCUUUUUGCCAGUUAGCCGGAGCGGCAAUCGGUUUUGCCCAGCAUAAAAAGCAAAACCGAUUUAGGCUCAUAAAGUAAGACUAACACAGAGGGCAGAGAGUUGGGAGUGAAGAAAAUAACUUAGUGGCGAACGGGUGAGUAACGCGUGAGUAACCUGCCCUGGAGUGGGGGACAACAGUUGGAAACGACUGCUAAUACCGCAUAAGCCCACGGCCCGGCAUCGGGCUGCGGGAAAAGGAUUUAUUCGCUUCAGGAUGGACUCGCGUCCAAUUAGCUAGUUGGUGAGGUAACGGCCCACCAAGGCGACGAUUGGUAGCCGGACUGAGAGGUUGAACGGCCACAUUGGGACUGAGACACGGCCCAGACUCCUACGGGAGGCAGCAGUGGGGGAUAUUGCACAAUGGGGGAAACCCUGAUGCAGCGACGCCGCGUGGAGGAAGAAGGUUUUCGGAUUGUAAACUCCUGUCGUUAGGGACGAUAAUGACGGUACCUAACAAGAAAGCACCGGCUAACUACGUGCCAGCAGCCGCGGUAAAACGUAGGGUGCAAGCGUUGUCCGGAAUUACUGGGUGUAAAGGGAGCGCAGGCGGACCGGCAAAUUGGAAGUGAAAACUAUGGGCUCAACCCAUAAAUUGCUUUCAAAACUGCUGGCCUUGAGUAGUGCAGAGGUAGGUGGAAUUCCCGGUGUAGCGGUGGAAUGCGUAGAUAUCGGGAGGAACACCAGUGGCGAAGGCGACCUACUGGGCACCAACUGACGCUGAGGCUCGAAAGCAUGGGUAGCAAACAGGAUUAGAUACCCUGGUAGUCCAUGCCGUAAACGAUGAUUACUAGGUGUUGGAGGAUUGACCCCUUCAGUGCCGCAGUUAACACAAUAAGUAAUCCACCUGGGGAGUACGACCGCAAGGUUGCAACUCAAAGGAAUUGACGG
Molecule: ribosomal RNA, 988 nt
Filed under: uncultured Bacillota bacterium
Lineage: Bacteria; Bacillati; Bacillota
Description: bacterial SSU rRNA
Rfam family: Bacterial small subunit ribosomal RNA
Source: RNAcentral